Molecule: long non-coding RNA, 1608 nt
Organism: Amphiprion ocellaris (clown anemonefish)
Lineage: Eukaryota; Metazoa; Chordata; Actinopteri; Pomacentridae
Source: Ensembl
AAAAGUUCAGUCACUUAAUUUAUAAAAAAGAAAAAAAGAAAAAAGAUUUGCUGCAUUGGAAGCUACUGCUGAUGUAGCCGAUUUGUUUUCUUGUAGUAAACAGCCUCUUACAGAAAAUUUGUCUCAUCAUUUCCUUAUCUCAUGUGUAGCUUGUAAGUGCCCUUUUUUAAAAUUGUUUUUACAGUACUGCAUGAAUUUUAACUGAAGCUGAAAUAAAACAACCAUUUUACUUUGUCUAUCCUUAUAAAAUACUCAACAAAAACACACUGAGCAACAAACCAGGAAGCAUGCCCGGACAUGUCACCUUCACCACUCAGCCUUUUUAACCCAUUCCUACGACACUUGCUCCCCAUACAAUGACCUCAAAGAGUCACCUGACCCCAAGGUUGAAAGGUCAAGUAACCUCCUACACCCUGUCGGGUACAGAGACAUGGACAUGACAACCCAUCACCUCCCCAGAUCAUUUGGUCUGGAACGGCCUCUUCUGGUCUGUUUUACACAAUCUUCUGCUUGUAUAAACACAAACUAAAGGGAGUUCCACAAUGACAUCCUAAGCAGAAGGAAAGAUUGAAUGGAAAUCACAUCUAUCCACAUGAAAAGAUCCAUGCAAAAAAAAAAAAAACAUUGCUGAUAAAUACUAAUUAGCCAACCCAGAAUACAAUGAUUGCAAGAACAGAUGCCCUGUUUCCUCACUUUCACUUUGGCAUGCAAGCAAAAUACAUCCCUACACAAUUACAAAUCCACCACUUGUAAAAUUUAAGCCAGACAAACACCAGGUAUUAUGCUAGCCAAAUUAUUGUUGUCCUGUGUUUGGCAAGACAAGUACACAUAGUACAAAUACACUAUUUGGAUACCGCCACAACUUUAGAAGUUAGGGUAAAAUGCUUCAUUUACUAUUGGGGCAAUAUUUACACAGCAUGAGAUCUUUUCAACAUCAUUGUGCAAAAUCAAUUCACCCAUAACAACAAAGCAAUCAAUUGUGAUAACAGGAGAAAAUCAUCACCUUUUACAAUAAUAACUGGGGAGGGUAUCCAAAGUCUAAAAGCAGCCCAGGAGGUGAUGAAUAGUUUUACUGUUCAUAGAAGACCAAGGAUGCUACCAGUGAAGAACUGCUUUGUUCCAUACAAAACACCAGUGCUGUGAUGAUACCCUAGAAGAUGUGUUUGAUGCUAUCUUUGGGGGCACUUGAAGGCCAUGGUGUAUCAGGUGAAGAUACGAGACAUAAAUCAUCUCCAGGAACGUAUCACCAACGCCAUUACAAGCAGAACUUCAACUGUGCUAAUGCAAGUUCAUCACCAGUGGAAAACAUGUAUAAAUAUGUGUUUUGGAAACAAUGGUAAUCAUAUAGAGCACAUUAUAUAAAUAAAAACGGUUGUCCAACAUAAAAUGUUUAUUUUUCCUAUGUAUAGAAACUUUCUGGCCCACCCUGGACUUAUGUUUGUCUAUAUACUUUUGUACUGUUUAUAUUUCUUGUCAGCAGCUGUAAGGUAAGCAAUGUCCUCUCUUGGAUCAAUAAAGUAUUUCUGAUUCUGACUGAUUGUGAACACCACUGAGAUGCCAUUCACUGUUCUUCACUGAGAUGACGCCGAUUAAAAUGUCUGUUUUUGC